GACGAACGCUGGCGGCGUGCUUAACACAUGCAAGUCGAACGGAAAGGCCCUGCUUUUGUGGGGUGCUCGAGUGGCGAACGGGUGAGUAACACGUGAGUAACCUGCCCUUGACUUUGGGAUAACUUCAGGAAACUGGGGCUAAUACCGGAUAUGCGCUCCUGCUGCAUGGUGGGGGUUGGAAAGUUUCGGCGGUUGGGGAUGGACUCGCGGCUUAUCAGCUUGUUGGUGGGGUAGUGGCUUACCAAGGCUUUGACGGGUAGCCGGCCUGAGAGGGUGACCGGCCACAUUGGGACUGAGAUACGGCCCAGACUCCAACGGGAGGCAGCAGUGGGGAAUAUUGCACAAUGGGCGGAAGCCUGAUGCAGCAACGCCGCGUGCGGGAUGACGGCCUUCGGGUUGUAAACCGCUUUCGCCUGUGACGAAGCGUGAGUGACGGUAAUGGGUAAAGAAGCACCGGCUAACUACGUG
Molecule: ribosomal RNA, 468 nt
Filed under: uncultured bacterium
Lineage: Bacteria
Description: partial 16S ribosomal RNA
Rfam family: Bacterial small subunit ribosomal RNA
Source: RNAcentral